RNAcentral lists this ribosomal RNA (487 nucleotides) under uncultured bacterium. Its description in RNAcentral is "bacterial SSU rRNA". It matches the Rfam family "Bacterial small subunit ribosomal RNA", at positions 28 to 507 of the family's 1533-position model. The record is from RNAcentral.
GACGAACGCUGGCGGCGUGGAUUAGGCAUGCAAGUCGAACGGUAGGAUACCUUCGGGUAUCUGAGAGUGGCGAACGGGUGAGUAACACGUAGGUGAUCUACCCUCAAGAUUGGGACAACCCAGGGAAACUUGGGCUAAUACCGGAUGAAAGCAGCAGUGAUGUUGUUUGAAAGGUGGCGUAAGCUGCCGUUUGGGGAUGAGCCUGCGCUCUAUUAGUUAGUUGGCGGGGUAAAGGCCCACCAAGGCGAUGAUAGAUAGGCGGCCUUAACGGGUGGUCGCCCACACUGGGAUUGAGAUACGGCCCAGACUCCUACGGGAGGCAGCAGUCGAGAAUGUCUACAAUGGCCGAAAGGCUGAUAGUGCGACGCCGCGUGAACGAAGAAGCCCUUCGGGGUGUAAAGUUCUUUUAUAUGUGAGCAGUGCUUUCUAUGUGAACAGCAUGGGGAGAGAGAUAUUAGCAUAUGAAUAAGCAACGGCUAACUCCGUG